AGCUCGUAGGCGGUUUGUCGCGUUCUGCUGUGAAAGCCCGGGGCUCAACCCCGGGUCUGCAGUGGGUACGGGCAGACUGGAGUGCAGUAGGGGAGACUGGAAUUCCUGGUGUAGCGGUGAAAUGCGCAGAUAUCAGGAGGAACACCGAUGGCGAAGGCAGGUCUCUGGGCUGUUACUGACGCUGAGGAGCGAAAGCAUGGGGAGCGAACAGGAUUAGAUACCCUGGUAGUCCAUGCCGUAAACGUUGGGCACUAGGUGUGGGGGGCAUUCCACGUUCUCCGCGCCGUAGCUAACGCAUUAAGUGCCCCGCCUGGGGAGUACGGCCGCAAGGCUAAAACUCAAAGGAAUUGACGGGGGCCCGCACAAGCGGCGGAGCAUGCGGAUUAAUUCGAUGCAACGCGAAGAACCUUACCAAGGCUUGACAUCCGCCGGACCGCGCCAGAGAUGGUGUUUCCCUUCGGGGUCGGUGGACAGGUGGUGCAUGGUUGUCGUCAGCUCGUGUCGUGAGAUGUUGGGUUAAGUCCCGCAACGAGCGCAACCCUCGUUCCAUGUUGCCAGCGGGUUAUGCCGGGGACUCAUGGGAGACUGCCGGGGUCAACUCGGAGGAAGGUGGGGAUGACGUCAAAUCAUCAUGCCCCUUAUGUCUUGGGCUUCACGCAUGCUACAAUGGCCGGUACAAAGGGUUGCGAUGUCGUGAGGCGGAGCUAAUCCCAAAAAGCCGGUCUCAGUUCGGAUUGAGGUCUGCAACUCGACCUCAUGAAGUCGGAGUCGCUAGUAAUCGCAGAUCAGCAACGCUGCGGUGAAUACGUUCCCGGGUCUUGUACACACCGCCCGUCAGUCACGAAGU
RNAcentral lists this ribosomal RNA (847 nucleotides) under Kocuria salina. RNAcentral describes it as "bacterial SSU rRNA". It matches the Rfam family "Bacterial small subunit ribosomal RNA", at positions 566 to 1411 of the family's 1533-position model. Lineage: Bacteria; Bacillati; Actinomycetota; Actinomycetes; Micrococcales; Micrococcaceae. The record is from RNAcentral.